Long non-coding RNA from Microtus ochrogaster (prairie vole), 884 nucleotides. RefSeq lists it as uncharacterized. The record is from RefSeq and is a predicted model, not a curated record. The transcript is spliced from 3 exons. Lineage: Eukaryota; Metazoa; Chordata; Mammalia; Rodentia; Cricetidae.
UUGAGGAGGGAACGGGGACCGGCGCUUGGGGCGGUCGAGGAUGCGCCGAGGGUCUCCCGGAGCCAGCAGGGGGCGCAGCGUCCAGGCUUCCGUCAGCGGUCCGAAGCGCGACGCCCGGGCCUGCCCAGAAGUUUGUUCCUUCAGCCCCGCGGGCGGCAGGCUCUGAGGUAGAAGACGGCGCCACCGUGGCGGUCUUUCCGCAGUGACGGUAUAUACUGCUGAACGUAUUGUGUAAUGCUUUUGGACCAUGGUUUUCUGCUGUAAUUGAAACCAGAGAAGGAUGAGUUCUGGGUGAGCACCGGAGAAGAACGAGUUCUGGGUGAGCACCGUUCAUUCGCACAGUGGACGAUCGUUCAGCUUUAAAGAGCAAGAGUGAUGCCUGCUGAACACCAAGGCGCCUUGAAGACUUAGCCAUAACUGUGAGGACAGCAGCCGCCCAGCUCCGGGAGCCUUUCCAGGCGCUCAUGCACCUCGGGACCCUGCCGAUUCUUAGUGGAAGCCUAUUACACCUGUCCCUGAAACCCAUGGAGGCCUGACCCCUACUUGCAGUUUGUCACCACCCGAGUCACUGCUCAUUGAUGGCUCUUCAUGGGUGACAUAGGGUCAGCCAUCACUCCUGAACCUCAGUCUGCCUCUUUUCCCUCUCCUUCCUUCCUCUCCCCCUCCUCUUUUUCCUCUCUUCAUUCUCCCUCUUCCCCUCUUCCUCUAGCUCUCAUUUAGUUUUAUGAGGCAGAGAUUCCUGGUUCUGUAGUCCAAACCAACUUAGACCUUCCUUUAUGUCCCAGGAUAUUCAUACACACGUAAUCCUCUUGCUUGAGGCUUCCAUGUGCUGAACCUGCAGGCUCAUGCCAACCAUUUUCUCACGACAUUAGCUGUCCCUUGGG